GAGGAAUAUUGGUCAAUGGACGUAAGUCUGAACCAGCCAAGUAGCGUGCAGGAUUGACGGCCCUAUGGGUUGUAAACUGCUUUUGUUGGGGAGUAAAGUGGGGCACGCGUGCCUUUUUGCAUUUACCCUUCGAAUAAGGACCGGCUAAUUCCGUGCCAGCAGCCGCGGUAAUACGGAAGGUCCAGGCGUUAUCCGGAUUUAUUGGGUUUAAAGGGAGUGUAGGCGGUCUGUUAAGCGUGUUGUGAAAUUUAGGUGCUCAACAUUUAACUUGCAGCGCGAACUGGCGGACUUGAGUGCACGCAACGUAUGCGGAAUUCAUGGUGUAGCGGUGAAAUGCUUAGAUAUCAUGACGAACUCCGAUUGCGAAGGCAGCGUACGGGAGUGUUACUGACGCUUAAGCUCGAAGGUGCGGGUAUCGAACAGGAUUAGAUACCCUGGUAGUCCGCACGGUAAACGAUGGAUGCCCGCUGUUAGCGCCUGGCGUUAGCGGCUAAGCGAAAGCAUUAAGCAUCCCACCUGGGGAGUACGCCGGCAACGGUG
RNAcentral lists this ribosomal RNA (540 nucleotides) under uncultured bacterium. Its description in RNAcentral is "bacterial SSU rRNA". It matches the Rfam family "Bacterial small subunit ribosomal RNA", at positions 356 to 896 of the family's 1533-position model. The record is from RNAcentral.